RNAcentral lists this long non-coding RNA (17590 nucleotides) under Sorghum bicolor (sorghum). RNAcentral's name for it is "long non-coding RNA (SBIC_LNC010462)". The record is from RNAcentral. Lineage: Eukaryota; Viridiplantae; Streptophyta; Magnoliopsida; Poales; Poaceae.
CACUUCAUUAGAGAUUGAGUUUGAAACCUUCAUUUACAUCUAGUAAUUUAGUACUUGUUCUACUGGUUCUUGCUGGUUCUUCGAUUGCUUGCAGGACGAGUGCCCUAGUGGCCGGGUGUUGCGCUCCACAAGAUCGUGACAGCCAUUGGAGGCGGUGUAUCGGUUGCUAAGGCGCGGCCUUAGAAGGCUGUAGUCGGGCCGUGAACGUCAUCUCCAUUCACUAAUCGAGUUAUCCAGCGCCUCUCAUCGAAAGAUCAGGCGAAAACCCUAGUGGGUUCACAUCAGUUGGUAAUCAGAGCAAGGUUUAUCGGUGAGAGAUUUCCAAUUCUUCGUGAUUGUUUUUCCUAUAGUCCAAAAAAAAGCCAAAAAAUAUAGCAGAUUUGUUUUCCAUAAUCCUAUAAAUCCUUUGUGCCGUGGCUAGUACUACUUAGUUAGGGCUGGUUGAAUGAGUGUUUGCUUCGGUCGUGUCUAGUGCUGGUUUUAGUUUAGUCCUUUAGAGUUUUGAGUUCUUGUCACCAUCUAGUCACAACUGCGUCCAAUCUAUUGUGGGUUGGAAUUUGAGUAGAUCUUGAUAAUAGGUGCAGCCACUUGUUGGUCUAUUCUGCGUUUCCAUCAACGUGAUCCAAAAGGAAAGAUAGCACUUCAUACUUGUGCUAGAUAUAUUGAAUUUUGAGGUUCAGCCUUACUCUAGUGAGAGGGUGAGAGUGGUGAAGUGAUAUUUUGUACUAUUUUGUUUAUAUAAUCAGGUUUUGAGGUUCCCCAAAAAAAAGAAAAGAGAAAGAAAAAAAAUAAAGAAAAAAAAGAAAGAAAGAAAGAAAAAAAAUCAAAAAAAAGGAUUGUUGUUCCUUUUGUUUCCAGUAGGGCUGCUCAUUUUGUUUCUAGUGGUGUGCUGUGUUUUCCCUUUGUGUCCAGGCUCGCGUCUCUAGCACGGUCUAGGCUAGGACCAGCAUAGUACCACCGUUGAGCGUUUAUUCAACUUGCUUUUUAUAACUAACGUGGUGCUAGUUCGAUCCUUGUUUCAGCCCACCUAUAGCUCCACAUAUUCUACAGCUUGAUAGGUUUUGUUGCUGCGGCACCGAUACACUUCGUCCAUUGCUGUGGAUUUGUUGGUAGCCAAUCCCUCCUGUUGAGCAAGGUAAGAAUUGGUAAGAACUUGUUAGACAGGUUGAUAGAGAGCGUCUUACAGUAGCCACAUCCUAAUAGCUGUAGGGUUUUUAUUUCUUCACCUAUUUUUCUUGUUUCCACUGUGUGUUUUUUUAAACCAUGUCAGAGACAGAGGAUACCAACAAAAUUCCACAGUCACCUCGCACUAAGGGCAUCAUACAACAUUUUGAAAGGCAAGUGAAGCUACACACAGAGGGACUUGAUGACGACUUGAAGGUGACGAAUGACAAGCUUGGGCAGUUGGAGGACACGCAGAUUGCCACAAACAACAAGAUUACAAAGAUGGAGGCAUCUAUUACUAGUAUGGAUAAAAGUCUUGCUGCUCUUCUCAAACGCUUUGAUGACUUCCACACAAUGGACAAAGAGAAGCAUAAGGAAGAAAACAAGGACGAAGACCGAGUGGAUGGCAAUUAUGAUGAUGAUUACACUGCUGAUACAGAACGAGAUGAUCAAGACACUCAUCAUCGACGUCGCCUACAUCACACCCGUAGAGGUAUGGGUGGCCACCACCGACGCGAGGUACACAAUAAUAAUGAUGCUUUCAGUAAGAUUAAAUUUAAAAUACCUCCUUUUGAUGGUAAAUAUGACCCUGAUGCAUACAUUACUUGGGAGAUUGCUAUUGACCAAAAGUUUACAUGUCAUGAAUUCCCUGAGGAUACACGUGUUAGGGCUGCUACUAGUGAGUUCACCGAUUUUGCUUCCAUUUGGUGGAUAGAACAUGGCAAGAAAAAUCCUAAUAACAUACCUAGAACUUGGAAUGCGUUGAAACAAGUCAUGAGGGCUAGAUUUGUUCCUUCUUACUAUGCACGUGUCAUGAUUAAUAAGUUGCAGCAAUUGAGACAAGGUGCUAAAAGUGUAGAAGAAUAUUAUCAGGAAUUACAAAUGGGUAUGCUGCGAUGUAAUUUAGAGGAGGAAGAAGAACCUGCUAUGGCUAGAUUUUUGGGCGGGUUAAAUCGUGAAAUCCAGGACAUUCUUUCUUAUAAAGAUUAUAGUAACGGAACCCGUUUGUUUCAUCUUGCUUGUAAAGCUGAAAGGGAAGUGCAGGGACGACGUUCUAGUGCCAAAUCUAACAAUUCUGCAGGGAAAUCCUGGCAACAACGCACAUCUGCUACAUUGUCGGGUGGUGUACCUCUUCCAUCAAGCCGAUCAAUAGCUCCACCACCUUCCUAUAGCGACAAACCACAUGAUUCUUCCACAAAUACAACAACUAAAUCAGCCCAGAGACCAAUCGCUAGUGCCACCUCGGUUAAUUCCACGGGAAGAACAAGAGAUGUUCAGUGUCAUCGAUGCAAGGGUUAUGGGCACGUACAGCGAGAUUGUCCAAACAAGCGUGUUUUGGUGGUUAACGCUGAUGGUGGAUAUUCCUCUGCUAGUGAUUUUGAUGACGAUACACGUGCUUUGCUUGCUGCUGAUGAUACAGGUAGGGAUGAAGCAAUAGAAGAGCAGAUAGGUGCAGAGAAUGUAGAGCAUUAUGAGAGUCUUAUUGUGCAGCGUGUGCUUAGUGCUCAAGCGGAGAAGGUAGAGCAGAAUCAGCGGCAUACAUUGUUCCAAACAAAGUAUGUUAUUAAAGAGCGUUCUUGUCGUUUGAUUAUUGAUGGAGGUAGCCGCAACAACUUGGCUAGCAGCAACAUGGUGGAGAAGCUUGCACUUACCACCAAACCACAUCCACAUCCAUAUCACAUUCGGUGGCUGAACAACUGAUGCGAACCCGCUAGGGUUUUUGGCCUGAUCUUUUGAUGAGAGACGAGGAUAACUCGAUUGGUGGAUGGAGAUGACGUUCACGGCCCGACUACAGCCCUCAAGACCGCGCCUUAGCAACCGAUACACCACGUCCAACAGCCGUCACGAUCUUGUGGAGCGCGACAACCAGCCCCUAGGGCUCCCGUCCUGCAAGCAAUCGAAGAACUAGCAAGAACGAGGAAACAAGCACUGAAUUUGCAAGAUGAAUUGAAGGUUUCAAACUGAAUCUGAAUCAACAAUGGGGUUCCGAAGACAAGAAGACGGGCGGCUGAUCCUGCACGCGCGCCUACAAGCAAGUAGCGAAGGCUAAACUUGAUCUAAACAAAACCCAGUUGUUCAUGGCGGCUCUAGAUGUAAAUAAAUAGAGGGGAGGACGACCAAAGGGGUGCUAGAGUCGUCCUCCGACCCUAGGACGCAUCCCUAAUGGACUCAACUUGAUACAUGGGCCAUUGGUCCAAAAUAGGGUGACGCAGCACCAAAACAGAAAAAGGUGUCGGCAUGAAAACAAGGACUGCGCCCGACUCAUAAGCUGCAUAGAUAUGUAGUUGGACCCAUUGGAAAGUAGACUUCAUGAGCUUUCCAACAAGUAUAGAAACGUCCCAGUUAGAGUCUAUAUGACGCCGUGGUGAUCCAUACAAGUUAGAGUUAUUUUCCAGUCCGAAUCCAACUCCCAAAACGUGUUGGGUUUGGACUCUUUGUUUCCUUGCUUUAGAUGAGACGUGGUAACUUGAUAGAGGAUGUUGUGGAGGCUUGGACCUGAUCUCCAAUCACCUUUGUUAAGUUAUCACUCUUCCCAUAUGCAAUCAGCCCUUGAAGUUGGUGUUGCCUCAAAUUCUGAAUGCAGUUGAACCUUCCCUUGCUGAUCUUGUCCAUUAUUCCUGAGCAACACAAAAGUGCACGUGUCUCCAUUGUCUAAAUAUGAUUGACAAGAGUUUAAAACUGAACUUACUUGAAGGUUGAGUUGACGGGCACGAGCACGAGUAAGAGGACCAGCUAUAGGUUGUGUCGGAGAGGAUGUAUGACCAGCUAUAGGUUGUGUCGGAGAUGUAGGACCAGCUAUAGGUUGUGUCGGAGAGGAUGUAGGAGAGGAUGUAUCGCUGGUGUUGAUGUCCUCAUCAUCCUCCCUUUCUUGCAUUUGAGUCGUCCUCGACUCAAGCUCAUCUUCCUCACCCAAAUAAGGCUUCAAAUCUGCAAUGUUAAAUGUGGGACUAACCCCAAAAUCUGCAGGAAGAUCAAGCUUAUAUGCAUUCUCAUUAAUUCGUUGCAGCACUUUAAAAGGACCAUCAGCUCUAGGCAUCAAUUUGGAUUUUCUCAGUUCUGGAAAUCUAUCUUUUCGCAAAUGCAACCAAACCAAAUCCCCAUCCAUAUCACAUUCGGUGGCUGAACAACAGUGGUAAGGCCAAGGUAACAAAACUGGUGCGAAUUAAUUUUACUAUUGGUUCAUACCAUGAUGUUGUUGAAUGUGAUGUUGUACCUAUGGAAGCUUGUAAUAUUCUGCUAGGUAGACCAUGGCAAUUUGAUAAGGAAUGUAUACAUCAUGGUAGAUCAAAUCAGUAUUCGUUUAUGCACCAUGAUAUGAAAAUUGUUUUGCUACCUAUGUCUCCCGAAGCUAUCGUACGUGAUGAAGUUGCUAAAAUUACCAAGGCUAAAAUUAAGAACAAUGCAGAUACCAAUGGAAAUAACAAAGAUGAGAUAAGAUUAAAUGGACAUUGCAUGCUUGCUACUAAAUUUGAUGUUAAUGAACUAAUUGUUUCCACAUCUACUGCUUAUGCUUUGGUAUGUAAGGGUGUUUUGAUUUCAAUUGAAGAUAUGCUGCAUUCUUUGCCCCCUGCUAUUCAUAACAUUUUGCAGGAGUAUGCUGAUGUUUUUCCAAGUGAGAUACCGGCAGGGCUGCCACCUAUACGUGGGAUUGAGCACCAAAUUGAUCUUAUUCCUGGUGCAUCUUUGCCAAACCGCGCGCCAUACAGGACAAACUAGAGGAAACAAAAGAGAUCCAGUGGCAAGUGCAAGAACUCCUCGACAAAGGUUAUGGAAUUGAGGUUGAUCAAGCCAAGGUAGAAGCUAUACAGGGAUGACCUGUACCAAAGACAAUCACCCAGGUGCGGAGUUUCUUAGGACUUGCUGGGUUUUAUCGCCGUUUUGUGAAGGAUUUCAGCACCAUUGCUGCACCAUUGAAUGACCUUACAAAGAAGGGAGUGCCUUUUGUUUGGAGCAAAGUACAAGAGAAUUCCUUCAACAUGUUGAAAGAUAAGUUAACACAUGCACCUCUCCUACAGCUUCCUGAUUUUAAUAAGACUUUUGAGCUUGAGUGUGAUGCUCGUGGGAUUGGUUUGGGAGGUGUUUUGCUACAAGAGGGUAAACCUGUUGCAUAUUUUAGUGAGAAAUUGAGUGGGCCUGUUCUGAACUAUUCAACUUAUGAUAAAGAAUUGUAUGCUCUUGUCCGAACUUUAGAAACAUGGCAACAUUAUUUGUGGCCCAAAGAGUUUGUUAUUCAUUCUGAUCAUGAAUCUUUAAAACAUAUUCGUAGUCAAGGAAAACUAAAUCGCAGACAUGCUAAGUGGGUAGAAUUUAUUGAAUCCUUUCCUUAUGUUAUUAAGCACAAGAAAGGGAAGGAGAAUAUCAUUGCUGAUGCUUUGUCAAGGAGAUAUACUUUGCUAAAUCAACUUGAUUACAAGAUUUUUGGAUUAGAAACGAUCAAAGACUAAUAUGUUCAUGAUGCUGAUUUUAAUGAAGUGUUGCUGCGUUGUAAAGAUGGAAAAGGAUGGAACAAAUUCAUCGUUAGUGAUGGGUUUGUGUUUAGAGCUAACAAGCUAUGCAUAUCCAGCUAGCUCUGUUCGUUUGUUGUUGUUACAGGAAGCUCAUGGAGAAGGUUUGAUGGGACAUUUUGGAGCAAAGAAGACGGAGGACAUACUUGCUGAUUUGAAACCAUAUUUGGGUGAGGAACAUGAGCUUGAGUCGAGGACGAUCCAAGAAAGGGAGGAUGAUGAGGACAUCAACACCAUCGAUAUAUCCGCACCUACACCAGUUGGAAUAAUGGACAAGAUCAGCAAGGGAAGGUUCAAGUGCAUUCGGAAUUUGAGGCAACACCAACUUCAAGGGCUGAUUGCAUAUGGGAAGAGUGAUAACUUAACAAAGGUGAUUGGAGAUCAGGUCCAAGCCUCCACAACAUCCUCUAUCAAGUUACCACGUCGCUUCUAAAGCAAGGAAACAAAGAGUCCAAACCCAACAUGUUUUGGGAGUUAGAUUCGGACUGGAAAAUAAGUCUAACUUGUAUGGAUCACCACGGCGUCAUAUGGACUCCAACUGGGACGUUCCUAUACUUGUUGGAAAGCUCAUGAAGUCUACUUUCCAAUGGGUCCAACCAUAGAUCUAUGCAGCUUAUGAGUCGGGCGCAGUCCUUGUUUUUGUGCCGACACCUUUUUCUAUUUUGGUGCUGCGUCACCCUAUUUUGGACCAAUGGCCCAUGUAUCAAGUUGAGUCCAUUAGGGACGCGUCCUAGGGUUGGAGGAUGACUCUAGCACCCCUUUGGUCGUCCUCCCCUCUAUUUAUUUACAUCUAGAGCCGCCAUGAACAACUGGGUUUUGAUUAGAUAAAGUUUAGCCUUCGCUACUUGCUUGUAAACGCGCGUGCUGAUCCAGCCGCCCGUCUUCUUGUUUUCGAAACCCCACUUCAUUAGAGAUUGAGUUUGUAACCUUCAUUUACAUCUAGUAAUUUAGUACUUGUUCUACUUGUUCUUGCUGGUUCUUCGAUUGCUUGCAGGACGAGUGCCCUAGUGGCCUGGUGUUGCGCUCCACAAGAUCGUGACAGCCAUUGGAGGCGGUGUAUCGGUUGCUAAGGCGCGGCCUUAGAAGGCUGUAGUCGGGCCGUGAACGUCAUCUCCAUUCACUAAUCGAGUUAUCCAGCGCCUCUCAUCGAAAGAUCAGGCGAAAACCCUAGUGGGUUCACAUCAGAGACAGUGUUAGUUUCGGUGCAAGAUAGUGGCAAGGUUUGCACAUAAUGCAGCAUAGGCUAAGAAACCAUUUUGGACGCACCCGAUGGUACUCCUAGUUAAAAGGCUCAAGUGAAAGCUCGGUUUGGUUUUUUUGGAUAUAGUGCUAAUCUUGAUGCAAGAUAGAUGCACAGUCUGCAUGGAACAUACCAUAUUUUUGGAAAUUAAUAUGGACACACCCGAUAGAACUCCUUGGUGAUGUGUGUCUUAUGGAAUCUCGCUUUGGUGUGCUUAGAGACAGUAUUAGUUUCGGUGCAAGAAAUAUGCACGGUUUGCGCCUAAUCCACCAAAGUCUAAGAAACCAUUUUGGAAGCACCUGUUAGUACUCCUAGGUGAAGAGGCUCAAGUGGAGGCUCGGUUUGGUCUGUUUAGAGAUAGUGCUAAUCUUGAUGCAAGAUAGGUGCACGAUUUGCAAGGAACAUACCAUAUGCUCAAAAGUCAAUUUGGACGCACCAGAUGGAACUCCUAGAUGACAUGUGUCAUAUGGAAUCUCGCUUCGGUCUGUUUGCAGACAGUGUUAGUUUUGGUGCAAGAUAGGUGCAUAGUGUGUGCCUAAUGCACCAUAGUAUAAGAAACCAUUUUUGACGCGCCUGUUUGUACUCCUAGAUGAAGAGGCUCAAGUGGAAGCUCGGUUUGGUCUGUUUGGAGAUAGUGCUAAUCUUGAUGCAAGAUAGGUGCACAGUUUGCAUGGAACAUACCAUAUGCUUGGAAAUCAAUUUUGAUGCACCCAAUGGAACUCCUUGAUGACGUGUGUCGUAUGGAAUCUCGCUUUGGUCCGUUUGUAGACAUUGUAAGUUUUAGGGCAAGAUAGGUGCACAGGUUGCGCCUAAUGCACCAUAGUCUAAGAAACCAUUUUGGACGCACUAUUUGGUACUCCUGGGUGAAGAGGCUCAGGUGGAAGCUUGGUUUGGUCAGUUUGGACAUAGUGCUAAUCCUUAUGCAAGGUAGGUGCAUGGUUUGCAUGGAACAUACCAUAUGCUUGGAAAUCAAUUUGGAUGCACCCGUUGGAACUCCUUGAUGACGUGUGUCAUAUGGAAUCUCGCUUCGGUCCAUUUGGAGACAUUGUUAGUUUCGGUGCAAAAUAGGUGCACAGUUUGCACCUAAUGCACCGUAGUCUAAAAAACCAUUUUGGACGCACUUGUUGGUACUGCUAGGUGAAGGGGCUCAAGUGGUUGCUCGGUUCGGUCUGUUUGGAGAUAGUGCUAAUCUUGAUGAAAGAUGGGUGCACGGUUUGCAUGGAACAUACCAAAUGCUUGGAAAUCAAUCCGGACGCACACGAUGGAACUCCUAGAUGACGUGUGUCAUACAAAAUCUUGCUUCGGUCUGUUUGGAGACAGUGUUAGUUUCGGUGCAAGAUAGGUGCAAGGUUUGCACAUAACGCAGCAUAGGCUAAGAAACCAUUUUGGACGUAACCGAUGGUACUCCUAGGUAAAAGGCUCAAGUGAAAGCUCGGUUUGGUCUAUUUGGAGAUAGUGCUAAUCUUGAUGCAAGGUAGAUGCACGGUCUGCAUGGAACGUACCAUAUGCUUAGAAAUUAAUUUGGACACACCCGAUAGAACUCCUUGAUGACGUGUGUCAUAUGGAAUCUCGCUUUGGUGCGCUUAGAGAUAGUAUUAGUUUCGGUGCAAGAUAUGUGCACGGUUUGCGCCUAAUGCACCAAAGUCUAAUAAACCAUUCUGGAAGCACCUGUUGGUACUCCUAGGUGAAGAGGCUCAAGUGGAGGCUCGGUUCAGUCUGUUUAGAGAUAGUGCUAGUCUUGAUGGUAGAUAGAUGCACGAUUUGCAUGGAACAUACCAUAUGCUUGGAAAUCAAUUUGGAUGCACCCGAUGGAACUCCUUAAUGACGUGUGUCAUUUGGAAUCUCGCUUCGGUCCAUUUGGAGACAUUGUUAGUUUCGGUGCAAGAUAGGUGCACAGUUUGCACCUAAUGCACCAUAGUCUAAGAAACCAUUUUGGACGCACUUGUCGGUACUCUUAAGUGAAGGGGCUCAAGUGGAUGCUCGGUUCGGUCUGUUUGGAGAUAGUGUUAAUCUUGAUGCAAGAUAGAUGCAUAGUUUGCAUGGAACAUAUGAUAUGCUUAGAAAUCAAUUAGGAGACACCUGAUAUAAAUCCUUGAUGAUUUGUGUCAUAUGGAAUCUUGCUUUGGCUCGUUUAGAGACAAUGUUAGUUUUGGUAGAAGAUAUGUGCACGGUUUACGCCUAAUGCACCAUUGUCUAAGAAACCAUUUUAGACGCACCCGAUGGUACUCGUAGUUGAAAAGGCUCAAGUAGAGGCUCGAUUUGGUCUGUUCGGAUAUAGUGCUAAUCUUGAUGCAAGAUAGUUGCACAGUUUGCAUGCAACGUACCACAUGUUAAGAAAUCAAUUUGGACGCACCCAAUGGAACUCCUAGAUGACGUGUGUCAAAUGGAAUCUCGCUUCGGUCUGUUUGGAGACAAUGUUAGUUUCAGUGCAAGAUAGGUGCAUAGUUUGUGCCUAAUGCACCAUAGUUUAAGAAACCAUUUUUGACACACCUGUUUGUACUCCUAGAUGAAGAGGCUCAAGUGGAAGCUCGGUUCGGUCUGUUUGGAGAUAGUGCUAAUCUUGAUGCAAGAUAGGUGCACGGUUUGCAUGGAACAUACCAUAUGCUUGGAAAUCAAUUUGGAUGCACCUGAUGGAACUCCUUGAUGAUGUGUGUCAUAUGGAAUCUCACUUUGGUCUAUUUAGAUAUAGUGUUAGUUUCGGUAAAAGAUAUGUGCAUGGUUUGCGCCUAAUGCACCAUAGUCUAUGAAACCAUUUUGGAAGCACCUGUUGGUACUUCGGUGAAGAGGCUCAAGUGGAAGCUUGGUUUAAUAUGUUUGGAGAUAGUGCUAAUCUCGAUGCAAGAUAGGUGCAUGAUUUGCAAGGAACAUACCAUAUGCUUAGAAAUCAAUUUGAACGCACCCAAUGGAACUCCUAGAUGACCUAUGUCAUAUGGAAUCUUGCUUCGGUCCGUUUGUAGACAUUGUAAGUUUUAUUGCAAGAUAGGUGCACAGUUUGUGCCUAAUGCACCAUAGUUUAAGAAACCAUUUUGGAUGCACUAUUUGGUACUCUUGGGUGAAGAGGCUCAAGUGGAAGCUUAGUUCAGUCAGAUUGGAGAUAGUGCUAAUCCUUAUGAAAGGUAGGUGCAUGGUUUGCGUGGAACAUACAUAUGCUUGGAAAUCAAUCUGGAUGCACCCGAUGCAACUCCAUGACGACGUGUAUCAUAUGGAAUCUCGCUUUGGUCCAUUUGGAGACAUUAUUAGUUUCGGUGCAAGAUAGGUGCACAGUUUGCACCUAAUGCACCAUAGUCUAAGAAACCAUUUUGGACGCAGUUUUUGGUACUCCUAGGUGAAGGGGCUCAAGUGGAUGCUCGGUUCGGUCCGUUUGGAGAUAGUGCUAAUCUUGAUGCAAGAUAGGUGCACGGUUUGCAUGGAACAUACCAUAUGCUUGGAAAUCAAUUUUGAUGCACCCGAUGGAACUCCUUGAUGAUGUGUCAUAUGGAAUCUCACUUUGGUCUGUUUAGAAAUAGUGUUAGUUUUGGUACAAGAUAUUUGCAUGCUUUGCGCCUAAUGCACCAUAGUCUAAGAAACCAUUUUGGAAGCACCUAUUGCUACUUCGAUGAAGAGGCUCAAGUGGAAGCUCGGUUUGAUCUGUUUGGAGAUAGUGCUAAUCUUGAUGCAAGAUAGGUGCAUGAUUUGCAAGGAUUAUACCAUAUGCUUAGAAAUAGAAUUGGACGCACCCAAUGGAACUCCUAGAUGACCUGUGUCAUAUGGAAUCCUGCUUCGGUUCGUUUGUAGACAUUGUAAGUUUUAGUGCAAGAUAGGUGCACAGUUUGUGCCUAAUGCACCAUAGUCUAAAAAACCAUUUUGGUUGCACUAUUUGGUACUCUUGGGUGAAGAGGCUCAAGUGGAAGCACCCGAUGGAACUCCGUGACAACGUGUGUCAUAUGGAAUCUCGCUUCGGUCCAUUUGGAGACAUUGUUAGUUUCGGUGUAAGAUAGGUACACAGUUUGCACGUAAUGCACCAUAGUCUAAAAAACCAUUUUGGACACACUUGUUGGUACUCCUAGGUGAAGGGGCUCAAGUGGAUGCUCGGUUCGGUCUGUUUGGAGAUAGUGCUAAUCUUGAUGCAAGAUAGGUGCACUGUUUGCAUGGAAUAUACCAUAUGCUUGGAAAUCAAUUUGGAUGCACCGGAUGGAACUCCUUGAUGAUGUGUGUCAUAUGGAAUCUCACUUUGGUCUGUUUAGAAAUAUUGUUAGUUUCGGUGCAAGAUAUGUGCAUGGUUUGCGCCUAAUGCACCAUAGUCUAAGAUACCAUUUUGGAAGCACCUGUUGGUACUUCGGUGAAGAGGCUCAAGUGGAAGCUUGGUUUGAUAUGUUUGGAGAUAGUGCUAAUCUUGAUGCAAGAUAGGUGCAUGAUUUGCAAGGAACAUACCAUAUGCUUAGAAAUCAAUUUGGAGACACCCAAUGGAACUCCUAGAUGACGUGUGUCAUAUGGAAUCUUGCUUCGGUCCGUUUGUAGACAUUUUAAGUUUUAGUGCAAGAUAGGUGCACAGUUUGCGCCUAAUGCACCAUAGUCUAAGAAAUCAUUUUGGAUGCACUAUUUGGUACUCUUGGGUGAAGAGGAUCAAGUGGAAGCUUGGUUCGGUCAGUUUGGAGAUAGUGCUAAUCCUUAUGCAAGGUAGGUGAAUGGUUUACAUGGAACAUACCAUAUGCUUGGAAAUCAAUUUGGACGCACCCGAUGGAACUAAUUGACGACGUGUGUCAUAUGGAAUCUCGCUUUGAUCUAUUUGAAGACAUUGUUAGUUUCGGUGCAAGAUAUGUGCAUAGUUUGCACCUAAUGCACCAUAGCCUAAGAAACCAUUUUGGACGCACUUGUUGGCACUCCUAGGUGAAGGGGCUCAAGUGGAUGCUCGGUUCAGUCUGUUUCGAGAGAGUGUUAAUGCUUGGAAAUCAAUCUGGACGCACAUGAUGGAACUCCUAGAUAACAUGUGUCAUACAAAAUCUUGCUUUGGUCUGCUUCGAGACAGUGUUAGUUUUGGUGCAAGAUAGGUGCAAAGUUUGCACAUAAUGCAGCAUAGGCUAAGAAACCAUUUUGGACGCACCCGAUGGUACUCCUAGGUAAAAGGCUCAAGUAAAAGCUUGCUUUGGUCUAUUUGGAGAUAGUGCUAACCUUGAUGCAAGAUAGAUGCACGGUAUGCAUGGAACGUACCAUAUGCUUAGAAAUUAAUUUGGACACACCCGAUAGAACUCCUUGAUGACGUGUGUCAUAUGGAAUCUCGCUUUGGUGUUCUUAGAGAUAGUAUUAGUUUCGGUGCAAGAUAUGUGCACGGUUUGCGCCUAAUGCACCAAGUCUAAGAUACCAUUUUGGAAGCACAUAUCGGUACUCCUAGGUGAAGAGGCUCAAGUGGAGGCUCGGUUUGGUCUGUUUACAGAUAGUGCUAAUGUUGAUGGAAGAUAGGUGCAUGAUUUGCAUGGAACAUACCAUAUGCUCAGAAAUCAAUUUGGACGCACGAGAUGGAACUCCUAGAUGACAUGUGUCAUAUGGAAUCUCACUUCGGUCCGUUUAGAGAUAGUGUUAUUUUCGGUGCUAGAUAGGUGCACAGAUUGCACCUACCAUAGGAUAAGAAACCAUUUCGGACGCACCCGAUGGUACUCCUAGGUCAAGGGGCUCAAGUGAAAGCUCAAUUUGGUUUGUUUAGAGAUAGUGCUAAUCUAGAUGCAAGAUAGAUGCACGGUUUGCUUGGAACAUACGAUAUGCUUAAAAACCAAUUAGGACGCACCUGAUAUAACUCCUUGAUGAUUUGUGUCAUAUGGAAUCUUGCUUCGGUUUGUUUAGAGACAGUGUUAGUUUUGGUAGAAGAUAUGUGCACGAUUUACGCCUAAUGCACCAUAGGCUAAGAAACCAUUUUAGACGCACCUGAUGGUACUCGUAGUUGAAGAGACUCAUGUGGAGGCUCGAUUUGGUCUGUUCGGAUAUAGUGCUAAUCUUGAUGCAAGAUAGUUGCACAGUUUGAAUGCAAUAUACCAUAUGUUAAGAAAUCAAAUUGGAUGCACCCAAUUCAACUCCUAGAUGACGUGUGUCAUAUGGGACCUCGCUUCGGUCUGUUUGUAGACAAUGUUAGUUUCGUGCAAGAUAGGUGCAUAGUUUGUGCCUAAUGCAACAUAGUCUAAGAAACCAUUUUUGACACUCCUAUUUGUACUCCUAGAUGAAGAGGCUCAAGUGGAAGCUCGGUUCGGUCUGUUUGGAUAUAGUGCUAAUCUUGAUGCAAGAUAGGUGCACGGUUUGCAUGGAACAUACCAUAUGCUUGGAAAUCAAUUUGGAUGCACCCGAUGGAACUCCUUGAUGACGUGUGUCAUAUGGAAUCUCAGUUUGGUCUGUUUAGAAAUAUUGUUAGUUUUGGUGCAAGAUUUGUGCAUGGUUUGCGCCUAAUGCACCAUAGUCUAAGAAACCAUUUUGGAAGCACCUGUUGGUUCUUCGGGGAAGAGGCUCAAGUGGAAGCUCGGAUUGAUAUGUUUAGAGAUAGUGCUAAUCUUGAUGCAAGAUAGGUGCACGAUUUACAAGGAACAUACCAUAUGCUUAGAAAUCAAUUUGGACGCACCCAAUGGAAGUCCUAGAUGACAUGUGUCAUAUGAAAUCUUGCUUCGGUCCGUUUGGACGCACCCAAUGGAAGUCCUAGAAAACUUUGCGCCUAAUGCAACAUAGUCUAAGAAACCAUUUUGGACGCACUAUUUGGUACUCCUGGAUGAGAGGCUCAAGGAGUUUAGAGAUAGUGCUAAUCCUUCUGCAAGGUAGGUGCACGGUUUGCACACAUGAUGGAACUCCUAGAUGACGUGUGUCAUACAAAAUCUUGAUUUGUUAUGCUUGGACAUAGUGUUAGUUUUGGUGCAAGAUAGAUGCACGGUCUGCAUGGAACGUACCAUAUGCUUAGAAAAUAAUUUGGACACACCCGAUAGAACUCCUUGAUGACGUGUGUCAUAUGGAAUCUCACUUUGGUGUGCUUAGAGAUAGUAUUAGUUUUGGUGCAAGAUUUGUGCACGGUUUGCGCCUAAUGCACCAAAGUCUCAGAAACCAUUUUGGAAGCACCUGUUUGUACUCCUAGGUGAAGAGGCUCAAGUGGAGGCUCGGUUCGGUCUGUUUAGAGAUAGUGCUAAUCUUGAUGGAAGAUAGGUGCACGAUUUGCAUGGAACAUACCAUAUGCUCAGAAAUCAAUUUGGACGCACCAGAUGGAACUCCUAGAUGACGUGUAUCCACCUACGGUGCCCCAAAAGUAACAUUGUCUCCACACAGACCGAAGCGAGAUUCCAUAUGACACACGUCAUCUAGGAGUUCCAUUGGGUGCGUCCAAAUUGAUUUCUUAACAUAUGGUAUGUUCCCUGCAAACUGUGCAACUAUCUUGCAUCAAGAGUAACACUAUAUCUGAACAGACCAAAUCGAGCCUCCACUUGAGCCUCUUCAACUACGAGUACCAUCGGAUGCGUCUAGAAUGGUCUUUUAGCCUAUGGUGCAUUAGGCGUAAACCAUGCACAUAUCUUCUACCAAAACUAACACUAUCUCCAAACGAACCGAAGCAAGAUUCCAUAUGACACACAUCAUCAAGGACACUAUCAGGUGCGUCCUCAUUGAUUUCUGACCAUAUCAUAUGUUCCAUGCAAACCGUGCAUCUAUCUUGCAUCCAGAUUAGCAUUAUCUCCAAACAGACCAAACUGAGCUUUCACUUGAGCCCCUUGACCUAGGAGUACCAUCGGGUGUGUCCAAAAUGGUUUCUUAUCCUAUGGUGCAUUAGGUGCAAACCGUGCACCUAUCUUGCACCGAAACUAACACUGUCUCUAAAUGGACCGAAGUGAGAUUCCAUAUGACACAUGUCAUCUAGGAGUUCCAUUUGGUGCAUCCAAAUUGAUUUCUGAGCAUAUGGUAUGUUCCAUGCAAAUCAUGCACCUAUCUUGCAUCAAGAUUAGCACUAUCUCUAUACAGACCGAACCGAGCCUCCACUUGAGCGUGUUCACCUAGGAGUACCAACAGGUGCUUCAAAAAUGGUUUCUUAGACUUUGGUACAUUAGGCGCAAACCAUGCACAUAUCUUGCACCGAAACUAAUACUGUCUCUAAGCACACCAAAGCAAGAUUCCAUUUGACACACGUCAUGAAGGAGUUCUAUCGGGUGUGUCCAAAUUAAUUUCUAAGCAUAUGGUACGUUCCAUGCAGACCAUGCAUCUAUCUUGCAUCAAGAUUAGCACUAUCUCCAAACAGAUCAAACCGAGCUUCCACUUGACCCUCUUCACCGAAGUACCAAAAGGUACUUCCAAAAUGGUUCUUAGACUAUGGUGCAUUAGGCGCAAACCAUGCACCUAUCUUGCACUGAAAAUAACACUGUUUCUAAACUGACCAAAGAUAGAUUCCAUAUGACACACGUCAUCAAGGAGUUCCAUCGGGUGCAUCCAAAUUGAUUUCCAAGCAUAUGGUAUGUUCCAUGCAAACCGUGCACCUAUCUUGCAUCAAGAUUAGCACUAUCUCCAAACAGACUGAACCGAGCUUCCACUUGAGCCUCUUCAUCUAGGAGUACAAACAGGUGCGUCAAAAAUGGGUUCUUAGACUAUGGUGCAUUAGACACAAACUAUGCACCUAUCUUGCACCGAAACUAACAUUGUCUCCAAACAGACCGAAGCGAGAUUCCAUAUGACACACGUCAUCUAGGAGUUCCAUUAGGUGCGUACAAAUUGGUUUCUUAACAUAUGGUACGUUCCAUGCAAACUGUGCAACUAUCUUGCAUCAAGAUUAGCACUAUAUCUGAACAGACCAAAUCGAGCCUCCACUUGAGCCUGUUCAACUACGAGUACCAUCGGAUGCGUCUAAAAUGGUUUCUUAGCCUAUGGUGCAUUAGGCGUAAUGAUUUGGACAUCAACACCAGCGAUACAUCCUCUCCGACACAACCUAUAGCUGGUCCUCUUACUCGUGCUCGUGUUCGUCAACUUAAUAAUCAAGUCAGUUCCUUGAUAAGCUCAUGUCCAUCUUGUUUAGACAAUAGAAACGCGUGCACUCUUGUUUUGAUUAGGAACCAAGGAGAAGACCGAAAGGGAGAAGGACUCACACUCGCUUGAUUCGGAUAGCAGCAAAGCGCCAACUUGUGACCGUUACCAUGGUUGCAUACGGAUUCGGAUUCAGGCGCUUCAGGACUUGUUGGAAAUCUUAUCAAGUCUACUUUCAUAUGAAACAAGUCCCACGUCAAUACCUAUUCGGCAGCAGCGGCAAUGAUCCAAUUACCGUCGAUAGGUCUUGUUGUCCAGGGUGCUGCGUCACCUCAUUUUGGGCUGAUGGCCCAUGUAUCAAGUUGGGUCCAUUAGGGACGCAUCCUAGGGUUGGAGGACGACCCCAACAUCUCUUUGGUCGUCAAUCCAUUUACUUAUAUCCCUCUAGAGUCGCCAUGGUCGUUGGGUUUUGUUUAGAUCAAGUUUAGCCUUCGCUACUUGCUUGUAGGCGCGCGUGCAGGAUCAUCCGCCCGUCUCCUUGUCUUCAGAACCCCAUUGUUGAUUAAGAUUCAGUUUGAAACCUUCAAUUCAUCUUGCAAAUUCAGUGCUUGUUUCCUCGUUCUUGCUAGUUCUUCGAUUGCUUGCAGGACGGGAGCCCUAGGUGCUGGUUGUCGCGCUCUACAAGAUCGUGACGGCUAUUGGACGUGGUGUAUCGGUUGCUAAGGCGCGGUCUUGAGGGCUGUAGUCGGGCCGUGAACGUCAUCUCCAUCCACCAAUCGAGUUAUCCCCGUCUCUCAUCAAAAGAUCGGGCAAAAAAACCCUAGCUGGUUCGCAUCAGUUGGUAUCAGAGCAAGGUUCUUCGGUGAGAGACUUCUAAUCCUUUGCUGUUUUUAAUUAAUUUCCUAUAGUCCAGAAAAGCCAAAAAAAUAUAGUAGAUUAGUUUUUCCAUAAUCCUAUUAAACCUUUGUGCCUUGACUAGUACCGUUUUAGUUAGGGCUUGUUGAAUUUGUGUUGCUUCGGUUUGUGUCGAGUUGCUGGUCUUAGUGUCUAGUCCUGUAGAGUUUCGAGUUCUUGUCACCAUCUAUACACAGCCGAGUAUUACCAUAUCUUCUCUCUGUCGAACCUGUUGCGAAGUCUGAAUUGAACUGUGGUCUUGGUCCGGAUCGAGUAGAGUUCCAAUCUGAGUUUCCACCAACGUGAUAAAAAAAAGAAGGAAACUGAGUAGAACUCGGCAAUAGGUGGAAUCCGUUUUGUGGUUGGUUCUGAGUGGAAACCGAACAGAACUUGGAGUCCGCUUGUUAAUAUAGCCUGAACUCCGUCUAUGUGAGUCCUCCUGUGAUCCAAAAAGAAAGAUAACUCCAUACUUGUUCGGCCUUACUCUAGAGAGAGAGAGAGAAAAAAAAAGUGUGUGUAGCGAAUUGCUCUUUUGUAUUCUUUUGUUCAUAUAAUUAGUUUUUGAGGUAGCCCGAAAAAAAGAAAAAAAUGAAAAGAGAAAAGAUUCACAAGAGAAAAAAAAGGGGCUGUUUUUCAUAUUGAUUUUAGGUUUGUUCCACCUUGUUUUCGGGGGUGUGCUGUGGUUUUCCUUUGUGUCCAGGCUCGCGUCUCUAGCACGGUCUAGCCUAGGACCAGCACAGUACCAUCGUCGAACGCUUAUUUAGCUCGCUUUUAUAACUAACGUGGUGCUAAUUCGUUCCUUGUUUCAGCCCACCUAUAGCUCCACAUACUCUACAGCUUGACAGGU